GGUAAUGGCCGGGAUAGNUCAGGUGGU
Molecule: transfer RNA, 27 nt
Filed under: Exhalimolobos palmeri
Lineage: Eukaryota; Viridiplantae; Streptophyta; Magnoliopsida; Brassicales; Brassicaceae
Description: partial tRNA-Phe
Source: RNAcentral